This 253-nucleotide ribosomal RNA is filed under the name uncultured bacterium. Its description in RNAcentral is "partial 16S ribosomal RNA". It matches the Rfam family "Bacterial small subunit ribosomal RNA", at positions 524 to 776 of the family's 1533-position model. The record is from RNAcentral.
UACGAAGGGGGCGAGCGUUGUUCGGAAUUACUGGGCGUAAAGGGCGCGCAGGCGGCCUUAGAAGUCAGAUGUGAAAGCCCCGGGCUCAACCUGGGAAUGGCAUUUGAUACUCUGAGGCUGGAGUACGGGAGAGGAGAGUGGAAUUCCCAGUGUAGAGGUGAAAUUCGUAGAUAUUGGGAAGAACACCGGUGGCGAAGGCGGGUCUCUGGGCCGUUACUGACGCUGAGGAGCGAAAGCGUGGGGAGCGAACAGG